CAAAAGGUCCUUUUUAGGACCAUUAUUAUUAUUAGAAAGGACCAUU
Molecule: non-coding RNA, 46 nt
Organism: Sarcoptes scabiei
Lineage: Eukaryota; Metazoa; Arthropoda; Arachnida; Sarcoptiformes; Sarcoptidae
Source: Rfam